GACGAACGCUGGCGGCGCGCUUAACACAUGCAAGUCGAACGGAAAGGCCUGCUUUCCCUUGUGGAUUGCGGGUACUCGAGUGGCGAACGGGUGAGUAACACGUGAGUGAUCUGCCCCCAACUUGGGUAUAAGCCUGGGAAACUGGGUCUAAUUCCCGAUAGGACUGCAGGGUGGUGCCUGUGGUGGAAAACGAUUUUCUAGUGGUUGGGGAUGAGCUCGCGGCCUAUCAGCUUGUUGGUGGGGUAAUGGCCUACCAAGGCGGCGACGGGUAGCCGGCCUGAGAGGGUGGACGGCCACAUUGGGACUGAGAUACGGCCCAGACUGCUACGGGAGGCAGCAGUGGGGAAUAUUGCACAAUGGGCGGAAGCCUGAUGCAGCGACGCCGCGUGGGGGAUGACGGCCUUCGGGUGGUAAACUCCUUUCGACCGCGAGGAAGCCACCUGGUUGGAAGGGUGGUGACGGUAGUGGUAGAAGAAGCACCGGCUAACUACGUG
RNAcentral lists this ribosomal RNA (494 nucleotides) under uncultured bacterium. RNAcentral describes it as "partial 16S ribosomal RNA". It matches the Rfam family "Bacterial small subunit ribosomal RNA", at positions 28 to 507 of the family's 1533-position model. The record is from RNAcentral.